RNAcentral lists this non-coding RNA (24 nucleotides) under Cricetulus griseus (Chinese hamster). Lineage: Eukaryota; Metazoa; Chordata; Mammalia; Rodentia; Cricetidae. The record is from RNAcentral.
AGGCAAAGGACUGACUGAAAGGCG